This 99-nucleotide signal recognition particle RNA is filed under the name Clostridia bacterium. RNAcentral describes it as "signal recognition particle sRNA small type". It matches the Rfam family "Bacterial small signal recognition particle RNA". Rfam says of the family: The signal recognition particle (SRP) is a universally conserved ribonucleoprotein involved in the co-translational targeting of proteins to membranes. Archaeal SRP consists of a 7S RNA and homologues of the eukaryotic SRP19 and SRP54 proteins. In most bacteria, the SRP consists of a 4.5S RNA and the Ffh protein (a homologue of the eukaryotic SRP54 protein). The record is from RNAcentral. Lineage: Bacteria; Bacillati; Bacillota; Clostridia.
UCGCCGGUCCCGCGCAGCGCGUGGCCGUGAACCAUGUCAGGCGGGGAACCGAGCAGCAUUAAGCGGCAUGUCGCGUGUGCCGCGGUCAACCGGUAUGGG